ACUAGAGGACCAAGAAGGCUGUCUGAUGAAGCAGGACUUUGCUGACACACCUCCUAGAAACAGAGGUGGAGAGAACAAAGCCCUGAUUGGAGAAAAACAUAGGGUUGACUCUACUACCCAACAUUU
Molecule: non-coding RNA, 126 nt
Organism: Onychomys torridus (southern grasshopper mouse)
Lineage: Eukaryota; Metazoa; Chordata; Mammalia; Rodentia; Cricetidae
Product: small Cajal body-specific RNA 4
Exons: 1
Source: RefSeq, a predicted model, not a curated record